GUGUUUUAUAUAUGCUUUAGUUUUAAAAUAUUUUUAUUGCAUAUUUAACUAUAUAUCAUGUAAACAAAUUUCUUUUAAAGAUAUGUAAACUUGAGACUUCAAAAGUGAUUUUCAAAAGUGAACAAAGAAACUGCGAAGUCAAAUAAGCAUGGUUUAUGCAGACAUGUGAUAGAGAUAGCGGAAGAAAAAAUAAUAAUCGUGGGCAGCAAACAUCAUAAGAAUUUUUCAAUGUAGCAAUGCAAAUCAUUUUAUUUGUAACAACGAUCUAAUGUUGCAUAAAACGUUAGGCCGAUAUAUAACAUACGAUAUUGGGUCAAUGUUGAACACAACGUUAAACCAAUUUUGUAUACACAACGUUGGGCCAAUACAUAAUCAAAGAUCAAACCUGCAUUGGGCCAACAUCAACAUGCAUGAAAUGCAUUGGUCCAACUUUGGUCCAAUGUAAGCUUGCUGUCUGGGAUAUACAUAUAUAU
Molecule: long non-coding RNA, 473 nt
Organism: Hydra vulgaris (swiftwater hydra)
Lineage: Eukaryota; Metazoa; Cnidaria; Hydrozoa; Anthoathecata; Hydridae
Source: RefSeq, a predicted model, not a curated record